This is a long non-coding RNA of Chiroxiphia lanceolata (lance-tailed manakin), 679 nucleotides long. RefSeq lists it as uncharacterized. The record is from RefSeq and is a predicted model, not a curated record. The transcript has 4 exons. Lineage: Eukaryota; Metazoa; Chordata; Aves; Passeriformes; Pipridae.
AGUGGAAUUGCAGGAGAGUGGAAGAGGGCAGAACCUAAUGUGAAUGCAAGAACCUGCCAAGAAAACCAAUGGCCAAGAUGAUUGAUGAGUGCAGGACCUGAGAGAACCCCUGUAAGUGACAACCUCGAGUAGUUUCCAGUAUUGGAUUUAAAAGAUGGCCUUUGCUGCAUCUCCUGGAGCGAGGAAAGCCAAGAAACCUUUGCUUUUGCAGGAGAAAAUGGGGAAAGCGGGAAGGAAGAAGAGAAGCCCCGUGACUCCUCCCUGAGCCCCAGACAGCCCAGGAACUGCUUCCCUGGGAAUGGUGGCACGGGCUGGACUCUGGAUUGCUCCCUCUGGAUGUGUGUGGGAUGGAGCCUGGAAACUGCCCAGAGCUGAGCCAAGGGAUUUCAAGGGACCAAGCAAGGGAGGUGAAGAAAGAAGGAAGAAGGGAACUGAGGCAGCAGCCAAGCAACACCAAGUUGCUGUGUCAGCAGUGGGAUGUACCCUAGAAACUGCCUGGAGCUGAGCCAAGGAACUGAAAGGGACUGAGCAAGCAAAGUAAAGAAAGAAUGAAGAAGGGAACUGAGGCAGCAGCCAAGCAGCACCGAGCUCCUCUACAACCAGGUGAGUUGUCUUGAAGUUGAUAAGGUGGUCACUGAGAACUUUGGGGGCUGCAGGCACAGGUGAGCACCAGAGACCC